RNAcentral lists this small RNA (978 nucleotides) under Histoplasma ohiense. RNAcentral describes it as "hypothetical lncRNA". Lineage: Eukaryota; Fungi; Ascomycota; Eurotiomycetes; Onygenales; Ajellomycetaceae. The record is from RNAcentral.
CUCACUGCUAAGCUAUCGCUGCUGCCAACCUAUCUAUUGCUGCAAGCUAUCCCUCGCUGCUAAGCUAUCGCUGCCAACCUAUCUAUCGCUGCCAACCUAUCUAUCGCUGCCAAUUUAUCUACCACUGCCAAUCUAUCUAUUGCUGCUAAUCUAUCGCUGCUGUCAAUCUAUCUAUCGCUGCUAAUCUAUCUAUCGCUGCUAAUCUAUCGCCGCUGCCAAUCUAUCUAUUGCUGCUAAUCUAUCGCUGCUGUCAAUCUAUCUAUCGCUGCUAAUCUAUCUAUCGCUGCUAAUCUAUCGCCGCUGCCAAUCUAUCCCUCACUGCUAAGCUAUCCCUCGCUGCUAAGCUAUCACAGCCAAUCUAUCGCUGCUAAUCUAUCGCUGCCAACCUAUCUACCGCGGCGAAUCUAUCUAUCGCUGCCAAUUUAUCUACCACUGCCAAUCUAUCUAUCGCUGCCAAUCUAUUGCUGCUAAUCUAUCGCUGCUAAUCUAUCGCUGCUGCCAAUCUAUCUUUUGCUGCUAAUCUAUCGCCGCUGCCAAUCUAUCCCUCGCUGCUAAGCUAUCCCUUGCUGCUAAGCUAUCCCUCACUGCUAAGCUAUCCCUCACUGCUAAGCUAUCCCUCACUACUAAGCUAUAUAUCACUGCUAAUCUAUCGCUGCUAAUCUAUCGCUGCUAAUCUAUCGCUGCUAAUCUAUCGCUGCCAACCUAUCUACCGCGGCGAAUCUAUCUAUCACUAUCAUUACUAGUUCAAAAUAGAACUAGAGCAUAAAUACACUAAACUUCUUUUGAUAGGUAAUGAUUUUUGGUAACACUCAUAGCAUUAUAUCAUCUAUAUAGGGUAAAUCAUGGUCCCAUUUGGUCCCAUUUUAACAAAAUGGGACCAAAUGGGACCAGAAUCAGUAAUUUAUAAGAAGAACAUGACCUGAGACUAGAUUUAUAAUAUAAACAGUGUAAAGUGACUAAUUUAAUAAACACUAUAUG